CGUCACUUUAGCUUAGUGGCAGAGCGUCGGCUCUGUGAGCAGAAGGUCGUCAGUCCAAUCCUGACAAUCCUGG
RNAcentral lists this transfer RNA (73 nucleotides) under Perkinsus marinus ATCC 50983. RNAcentral's name for it is "tRNA-Thr". The stretch from base 7 to 67 matches the Rfam family "tRNA", at positions 6 to 65 of the family's 71-position model. From Rfam's summary of the family: Transfer RNA (tRNA) molecules are approximately 80 nucleotides in length. Their secondary structure includes four short double-helical elements and three loops (D, anti-codon, and T loops). Lineage: Eukaryota; Perkinsozoa; Perkinsida; Perkinsidae. The record is from RNAcentral.